This 264-nucleotide ribosomal RNA is filed under the name uncultured soil bacterium. RNAcentral describes it as "partial 16S ribosomal RNA". It matches the Rfam family "Bacterial small subunit ribosomal RNA", at positions 26 to 285 of the family's 1533-position model. The record is from RNAcentral.
AGAUUGAACGCUGGCGGCAUGCCUUACACAUGCAAGUCGAACGGCAGCACGGGAGCAAUCCUGGUGGCGAGUGGCGAACGGGUGAGUAAUAUAUCGGAACGUGCCCAGUCGUGGGGGAUAACGCAGCGAAAGCUGUGCUAAUACCGCAUACGAUCUAUGGAUGAAAGCGGGGAUCGCAAGACCGUCGCGCGAGUUGGAGCGGCCGAUAUCAGAGUUAGGUAGGUUGGGUAGGGGUAAAGCUACACCGAAGGCGACGAUCUAGUA